This 370-nucleotide long non-coding RNA is filed under the name Nicotiana benthamiana. RNAcentral's name for it is "long non-coding RNA (NBEN_LNC026318)". Lineage: Eukaryota; Viridiplantae; Streptophyta; Magnoliopsida; Solanales; Solanaceae. The record is from RNAcentral.
UAGGAUCUCAGUGUCACUGAUGUCAGCAACUAAUUCCAUCUUCUGGUGGUGAGUUAGGCUAGGUCCAUUGCUCAUGUACAGUCUGUUAACAGCUGGGAGGGAAGUAGCUGAUGUCCCCAUGAGUGAUUUAUAGAAAUCCUUGAUCUCCUUCUUCAGGUCAUCUGGAUCAGUAAUCUUCAAACCCCCAUCUGUGAUCAGUUAAGUAAUCUUCUUAUAUUGGUUUCUCUCCUUCAUUACAGCAGAAAAAUAUUUGUUAUUUGAGUCCCCAAGUUGAAUUCAUCUGGCUCUAGAUUUUUGUUGUAAUACUGACACUUCAAUCAAUGACCAUUUUUCUAAUUGCAGCAUCAGCUCUUUUUCUCUAAGCUGUAAG